Molecule: ribosomal RNA, 497 nt
Filed under: uncultured bacterium
Lineage: Bacteria
Description: partial 16S ribosomal RNA
Rfam family: Bacterial small subunit ribosomal RNA
Source: RNAcentral
GAUGAACGCUGGCGGCGUGCCUAAUACACGCGAGUCGAGCGAACAGAUGAGGAGCUUGCUCCUCUGACGUUAGCGGCGGACGGGUGAGUAACACGUGGAUAACCUACCUAUAAGACUGGGAUAACUUCGGGAAACCGGAGCUAAUACCGGAUAAUAUAUUGAACCGCAUGGUUCAAUAGUGAAAGACGGUUUUGCUGUCACUUAUAGAUGGAUCCGCGCCGCAUUAGCUAGUUGGUAAGGUAACGGCUUACCAAGGCAACGAUGCGUAGCCGACCUGAGAGGGUGAUCGGCCACACUGGAACUGAGACACGGUCCAGACUCCUACGGGAGGCAGCAGUAGGGAAUCUUCCGCAAUGGGCGAAAGCUUGACGGAGCAACGCCGCGUGAGUGAUGAAGGUCUUCGGAUCGUAAAACUCUGUUAUUAGGGAAGAACAAAUGUGUAAGUAACUAUGCACGUCUUGACGGUACCUAAUCAGAAAGCCACGGCUAACUACGUG